GUCCCCAUAGCUAAAUGGAUAAAGCGUGGGCCUCCGAAGCCCAAGAUCGAGGUUCGAUUCCUCGUGGGGACG
RNAcentral lists this transfer RNA (72 nucleotides) under bacterium. Its description in RNAcentral is "tRNA-Arg". It matches the Rfam family "tRNA". From Rfam's summary of the family: Transfer RNA (tRNA) molecules are approximately 80 nucleotides in length. Their secondary structure includes four short double-helical elements and three loops (D, anti-codon, and T loops). The record is from RNAcentral.